Molecule: transfer RNA, 70 nt
Filed under: Pedetontus silvestrii
Lineage: Eukaryota; Metazoa; Arthropoda; Insecta; Archaeognatha; Machilidae
Description: tRNA-Asp
Source: RNAcentral
UAAAAAUUAGUUAAAUCAAUAUAUAACAUAAGAAUGUCAAUCUUAAAUUAUUAUCAAUUAAUAUUUUUAG